UGAUACCUGCUCAAUAGAUUUAUUAAAUAGCCAUAGUAUUUUUGACUAUGCAAAGGUAGCAUAAUCAUUUGUCUUAUAAAUUAAGACUAGAAUGAAUGGAUAAAUGAAGUAAUGCUUUCUUAAAUUAAAUAUUAUAAAUAUUUUUUAUAGUGAAGAAACUAUAAUAAAUAUGAGGGACGAGAAGACCCUAUUAAGCUUAAUAAAAUUAUUUUGUUGGGGAAACAAAAGAAUAAAAUUUCUUAAGAAAUUUUAUAAUGAUAAUUAAGAUUUAUUAUUAAUAAUAAUAGAACAAGUUACUAUAGGGAUAACAGCAUAAAUUCUUUUAAAAGUUCAUAUUAACAAAGAUAUUUAUGACCUCGAUGUUGGAUUAUUAAUAUUAUAUGAAGAAGUUG
This 392-nucleotide ribosomal RNA is filed under the name Peripatidae sp. lineage A PSR-2017. RNAcentral describes it as "partial 16S ribosomal RNA". The record is from RNAcentral. Lineage: Eukaryota; Metazoa; Onychophora; Udeonychophora; Euonychophora; Peripatidae.